GACGAACGCUGGCGGCGUGCCUAAUACGUGCAAGUCGAGCGGAAUGAUGAAGAAGCUUGCUUCUUCUGAUUUUAGCGGCGGACGGGUGAGUAACACGUGGGCAACCUACCUUGUAGAUUGGGAUAACUCCGGGAAACCGGGGCUAAUACCGAAUAAUCCAUUUUGCUUCAUGGCGAGAUGUUGAAAGACGGUUUCGGCUGUCACUAUAAGAUGGGCCCGCGGCGCAUUAGCUAGUUGGUAGGGUAAUGGCCUACCAAGGCGACGAUGCGUAGCCGACCUGAGAGGGUGAUCGGCCACACUGGGACUGAGACACGGCCCAGACUCCUACGGGAGGCAGCAGUAGGGAAUCUUCCACAAUGGACGAAAGUCUGAUGGAGCAACGCCGCGUGAGUGAAGAAGGUUUUCGGAUCGUAAAACUCUGUUGUAAGGGAAGAACACGUACGAGAGUAACUGCUCGUACCUUGACGGUACCUUAUUAGAAAGCCACGGCUAACUACGUG
This 500-nucleotide ribosomal RNA is filed under the name uncultured bacterium. RNAcentral describes it as "bacterial SSU rRNA". It matches the Rfam family "Bacterial small subunit ribosomal RNA", at positions 28 to 507 of the family's 1533-position model. The record is from RNAcentral.